This 233-nucleotide ribosomal RNA is filed under the name uncultured bacterium. RNAcentral's name for it is "partial 16S ribosomal RNA". It matches the Rfam family "Bacterial small subunit ribosomal RNA", at positions 103 to 334 of the family's 1533-position model. The record is from RNAcentral.
CGGGUGAGUAACGCGUGAGGAACCUGCCUCAAAGAGGGGGACAACAGUUGGAAACGACUGCUAAUACCGCAUAAGCCCACGGCUCGGCAUCGAGCAGAGGGAAAAGGAGUGAUCCGCUUUGAGAUGGCCUCGCGUCCGAUUAGCUGGUUGGUGAGGUAAUGGCCCACCAAGGCAACGAUCGGUAGCCGGACUGAGAGGUUGAACGGCCACAUUGGGACUGAGACACGGCCCAG